AUCAUGGGAGGAGAUAACAAUUCAUUAUUUUUGCAAAAUUAUUUUACCAACAAAAGAACUUAGCCAAAUUUUGGAGAGAAAAGCCCUCUUCUUGCUUGAUUUUUGGAUUUUGAAGAAUGAAUUAGUUUGUAAGGUAGAUUUGAAUGGGGUUUGUUGCAUUGGAAUAGGAAUUGGGAAGUCUUCAAUUUUGUCCAAGAAUUGUACAAAUUCGUUUGGUAUGUUGGGAGUACUUUGCAUUUUCAUUUUGAAGAAAAAUGAGGUAGAACUUCUCAUAUCUUCUUCAUUUCUUCAUCUUUUGAAUUAAAAUUUGUUGAAAUUUGAUUUUAGUGUGGUUUUAAGCAUUCUCCCUCAAAUAUUUUCAUUUGAAUGAUUAUAUUAUUGGAAUAUUUCAUAUUUGGACAAGCAUGGGUUUAUAUGGGGAAAUGUUGCUAAACUUUCAUUGGAUUAUGGGAAGGGAAUUUUAAAUGCAUUUUUGUUUUGUUGGCUACAUGGAGACCAAUGGGUUCUCUCAGAUUUUAGUUUUGAGUAUUUUGGAUUUUUAAGCUUUUUUUUGGUCCAUUAAUGGAGGAUGGCCUCUUGGAUUGGUUUUUAUUCAAAAAGUGUAAUUUGAGUGUUAUGAUAUUAUAGUUUAAUGUGGAUUUAUAUUAUAAAUUAUUUUAUUUGGUUGGAUUUGAGUUUGUCUUCAUAUGGUUAUGGUCAUGCUAAGAUAAACUUAUAAUUAACUAAAAGGGGUUAAUCAAUUUUAGUAAAAUGAUGUGUAAUUCAUGUACCUUAAGUAUAUAGUUUCAAUUUUAAUGCAACUAAAUAAAUCAUUAUAGAUUCUUUAAUCUAUCUAAAAAUUUAUGGAAAAAAGGAUUAAUAUCAAUCUAAGAAAUUAGCUUCAAUGUCAUCUACACAAUUAUUGACAUGAAAUAGUGGAUAUAGGCAACUAUAUAAUAUCAUCAUUUGAUGCCCUACUUGUAGUGUGGAUAUUAAGAACAAGGAUAGAUAAAUACAGAGGUACUUAAGUCAAAGUUGUUCUUCUAGUGUUUGAUUCAAGAGUACUUUGUGUCAGUUAAUGAUGAACAACUCAUUUAGACUUUAAGGUAGGGGACAUAGAUUAAAGUAUCAUUCCAAGGUAAAAUUAUAUUACAAUGAUUCAUGAACAUGCUCAUUAUCAUAUAUAUUUGGAUAUCUUUAUCUUAUCAAGUAUUUUUCUAUUAUUGACCCAUGAGGAGUUGAGAAUUAAUUAGUAUUUGAAUCUUGCAUGGUCCCAAGUUAUUUUGUAAAGAUUAAUGUUCACCUAUGGUUUUAUAUGCUUAUACAUGCUUCCUAUGUUGGCAUUUGAUCAUUUGGUCAACCAAUAAUAUAAUGUUUUGAUGCAACCAAUACUUGUUUGUAGAUGAAAAGAGGUUAGAUUUAUGUAUGAUGACUAUUUUGUAUGUUUUCAUUGAUGACAACUAUGUUUAUUUAAGUCAUCUAAGUCCUACAGUUCAAUCGGCUAAACUUAACCGGUAAAGCAGAGACAGUUUCAUCAAAACCGAUAAUUAGGACUUCAACCGGUAAAUGACACAGUGUUACAUUCCGACAACCAGUACAUGAAAAUCAUGAAGAUUGAGAUGAUGUGAUUUUAAAGCAGCAUUGAAGAUUAUCAUAUGAAGAUAUGUUAGUGACUGCAUGUGCUGAAUUGAUCAGGUGAACGAUAUUUGCUUGACAUAAUAGAUUAGUGGAUGGAGACUUAACCGGUAGAGAUGAAAAUCACCCAGAUCGGUAAAACCACACAAAAUUGGAUUUGUUAUGUCGAUGGCCGACAUAACUAAAGCGUACAAUGCAAUAUUGUCUAGUGCAUUGAACCUAGAGAAUUAUAAUAAGGUUCUAGGUGAUGAGCAAAUUUUGUAUUUUUGAUAGUGCGAAGAUCAAAGGAGUUGAGAGAUGAAGUCUUUGUGAUGUUGUAAUAUUCUGAAGUGGAUCUUAUCAGACACAGAAGGUGUUAUACUGAGAUCAUUUGUACUUGUUGUCUUCCUAAUAGUUGUAGCAAGAAAAUCCUCUUACAAGGUCACUCCUAACAGGGUGCAGUCAGAUCCUAACAACUCCAAUCAUUAAAUCCUCUAACCAGGUGACACGUUAACUUGUGUUUGAAAAUCCUAGUAACUUGGGUAGCUCCUAACAAGGCUGGCCCUCAUGGGACUUUUUGUAAAGCUCUUAACUAGGCUUAGACACUUCUAACAAGGUGUGCCCCUAAUCGGGUGCUGUAGACCUUAACCGUUUAGAUCUCUAUACUGCAGAUAGUGGAUCUUGUGGGUACUAACUCCCACCAUUGUUUUUCCCAUUUGGGUUUUCCAUGUAUAAACUCUUGUGUCAUGUGGUUUCUGCUUUAUGUGGUGAUUGCAUACUUGGUGUUAUUUCUUGCAUGUCUAUUGAAUUUCAAGUUGGUGAAACUGAUAUUUAGUUUUGUAUUGUUUUUACUAUCAUCGAUUCACCCCCCCCCCUCUCAGUGCCUUAUAAGUUCGUCAUCCUCAAUAUUUUAUGCUCUCUCUCUCAUGCAUGUUUGGAAGAUGAAUGAGACAUUUUGUUGGAUGAUUAAACUCAAAAAAGAAUGUAAAAAUUGGCAUGAUAGAGUUGGUUUGAUAUUGUUUUAAAUGCUUGACUUAUAUUGAUUUGGAUGCUUGAUCCAUGCCUUCUUAGGUGAUCAAGGGAUUGAUGUUCAUGUUGUGAGAAAAUGGGAGAGAUGCAAAUGUGUGUAAUGAAAGUCAAAUGUGAUUGAUGCCUUGUGUGUAAUCAUGUGAUUGUAUUUGAUCUCUUAGUAUAUGUGUACUAAUUGAUUCACUAUGUUUCACACUCUCUUCCUGUAGCAUCCUAAAAUUGUGACACUUGCAAUUUCGACCGCAUUUCAGUCUUCACGAUGGCGAUGCAACACUAAACCUGAAUGGAGACCCCGAAACUUGUCCACGACACCAAAAACUGCAUUUUUCCAGUACCCUGCCUGAUCCCUCCUUGCACCCUGCUAUCCCGGGAGGUGGGACCAGAGCGCCCAGCGCCCUGGUCCUUCAGGACAAGGGCGUCCAACGCCCUGGUCCCUGGCCCUAUUUUGGGCCCGGUCUCCUAUGGGGCUUCGGGUCUUUUUGUUUGCAAAUUGGAAAAUAACAUUUCUUGGUCGGCCUAAGGUCGGGAAAAUCAGUCUAUCAGCCCUAAUUGACAAGUAUAUAAACUACAUUUUCCUCUCCCAUUUAGAGAGAUGAAAAAAAGGCGGAAGCGAUAUUCAAACAUUCAAGCAUUCAAGCAUUCAAGCAUUCCUUCAAGCAAUUGAUCAUUCUAAGUCUCCAUUCAAGGCUAAGUGUUGCAUUCAAGACAAGGAUUCAACCAUUGAAGAGGAGAUCACAUACUACAACAUACAACAUACAACAACAUCUAUACCUUCGCACAUAAGGAUACAAACAUCCUUACAACAAGGUAUUAGUACUUGUUUUGCAUUACAAUCAUUUACAUUUACAACAUUUCUCAUUUCUUGGUUAAUUCCAAAACCAGGGUUUGACCUAAGGGCAAACCCCUAAUCCCUAACCCCCCAAUCGUCUUCGCUUUUCUGUGUGUAGGUUGCAGGUACACGGCUGAAAUUGAAGAUCUGGAAUCCUUGUGCAAAGACGAACAGAUCCUCCUUCAUUUUGCGGAUUUUUCGGAGGACCGUGUGCACGUCGAGCGCCAUCGUCCCGUCAACUUUUGCUCAAAUUUGUAGGACAGCGCCGUAUCAACAUUUUACUGCUAAUUCCAGGGUCAACAGUUCUUUGUGUCAGAAAGAACUUCAGAGAAGCACAAUUGCUUUGUGGUUGGGCAAAAAGGCACUCUGGCAAUGUUCUUGCCCAUGGUGUGGUUGUGGGAGAUAGAUGUCAAAAUCUCUUAUUAAGAUUAUCAUCAGCUAUAUGCAAUAUGUAUUUUUAUAAUCAACCUUAUAAAUGAAAUAAUUUCCUUAUGCUUGACUA
Long non-coding RNA from Cryptomeria japonica (Japanese cedar), 3953 nucleotides. RefSeq lists it as uncharacterized. NCBI's taxonomy places the organism in Eukaryota, Viridiplantae, Streptophyta, Pinopsida, Cupressales, Cupressaceae. The transcript has 2 exons. The record is from RefSeq and is a predicted model, not a curated record.